CCUACGGGUGUCAGCAGUGAGGAAUAUUGGUCAAUGGGCGCGAGCCUGAACCAGCCAAGUAGCGUGAAGGAUGACUGCCCUACGGGUUGUAAACUUCUUUUAUAAAGGAAUAAAGUGAGGCACGAGUGCCUUUUUGGAUGUACUUUAUGAAUAAGGAUCGGCUAACUCCGUGCCAGAGGCCGCGGUAAGCCGGGGGAUCCGAGCGUUAUCCGGAUUUAUUGGGUUUAAAGGGAGCGGAGAUGGGUUGUUAAGGAAGUUGUGAAAGUUUGCGGGUCAACCGUAAAAUUGCAAUUGAUACUGGCAGUCUUGAGUACAGUUGAGGUGGGCGUAAUUCGUGGUGUAGCGGUGAGAUGCUUAGAGAUCACAAAGAACUCCGAUUGCGAAGGCAGCUUACUAAACUGCCACUGACAUUGAUGCUCGAAAGUGUGGGUAUCAAACAGGAUUAGAUACCCGGGUAGUC
Molecule: ribosomal RNA, 460 nt
Filed under: uncultured bacterium
Lineage: Bacteria
Description: partial 16S ribosomal RNA
Rfam family: Bacterial small subunit ribosomal RNA
Source: RNAcentral